AGCUGUUCAUAGUUUCAAACUGAGUCGGAACCACGUGGACUGGCACAGCAUGGACGAGGUCUAUCUCUACAGUGACGCAACAACUUCCAAAAUUGCAAGAACUGUUACCCAGAAACUGGGGUUUUCUAAAGCCUCCAGCAGUGGGACCAGACUUCACAGAGGCUACGUAGAAGAAGCCACACUAGAAGACAAGCCAUCGCAAACUUCUCAUAUUGUGUUUGUUGUGCACGGCAUUGGACAGAAGAUGGACCAAGGAAGAAUCAUCAAAAACACAGCCAUGAUGAGAGAGGCUGCAAGGAAAAUAGAAGAAAAGCAUUUUGCCAACCACGCAACACACGUUGAGUUUCUACCUGUGGAGUGGCGAUCGAAGCUUA
This 374-nucleotide long non-coding RNA is filed under the name Rattus norvegicus (Norway rat). RNAcentral describes it as "long non-coding RNA NONRATT010794". Lineage: Eukaryota; Metazoa; Chordata; Mammalia; Rodentia; Muridae. The record is from RNAcentral.